GGGACUGUCCCUCCGAAAAAGGGACAGUUGGGAGGUAUGAUUUAAAUAAAAGACAAAGUGGGAAAGGAGAAGGGAAAAUGGAGUUGUUUUGAAGGGGUUAACCCAACUAUUAAAACAUUUACAAGGAAAACUCAAUAAUAAUUUUUUAUUUAGGGUGGUGGCAGACGUGCAGAUUCGGGGAGAUUAGUCACCCAGCGACAAAUCUCCUGUACUGCAGUUGCCUUGUGAGGCAAGUUCGGACGACUUCAGAAAAAGAAACAAUACGAAUACCGGUGAUUAAUCUCCCUGAAAUGCUGGAAGGCUGUUCGGCGCUGUUUUUAGAAGCCUUAACAGACAAGGAAAGGCUAGAAAAGAGUUUACCUCCAUUGAAAGUCAUGCAUCCAGCGUUGCCAUUUGUCAUAUCCAUUCUCCUCUAUGUCAAGCCCUUUUUCAGUUCAGUUGCUAGAUUAUAGUAGAAACCGCUGAUUUAAGUAAAAGAUGAAUCACCUCUCCUUCUCCAAGGCCAGUGGGCAUGCACAGAAAGUAGAAUAAUCAGGCAGCGCAUGUAAUAUUUGCGAGUGCGUCUUGUAAAGUUUAAGAAUUUUUGACCCAAGUGUUCUGGAUAACAGAUCCCAUACCUGUACUAAAUGACUUUAGUAAGAUCGCAUUCCUGAAAUGAUUUUUAAGCUCAGAAAGUGAAUUUCAAAGCAUACAAUAUGAAAACGCUCAUCUGCAUUGACACCUCAAUCAGAUAAAACCAAAACAUUCUCUAUACAAAUUGGUAUAAUGGCUCUGCAACUGUCUGCAUCUGUACUAUUAUAACUACAUUUUUCAGAACGUUAUCAGGCCCAGAACGGCUUGUAUUUUCUAACGCAAUUAAAUAUUAGUUGUAAUUGCAUCUUGUUUUAAUGAUUUAUGUAGCUCUUAUACUGAUGAGGUUUUUCAGCUUUCAGUUUGCCACUCCCGGGUACUGUAGUUGCAGACGACUACAGAGACUUGCACAAAAGGAGUCAUAUUCAUAAGAUCUAAUUGGAUGUUACAUACAGUUGUGUAUCUGUGUUGUCCCAGCUGGGAUUACAUUGGCAUACACUUAUCAAGCUCAGCAGCCCACACUUUCCAUAAUCGCUAGGUGCAGUUUUAAUCACUAUGUUGUUUUUGUAUAAAGCUGGCCAGGCACAUUAUAAUCAUCUUAUUUGGCUAGCUAAUCAAAUGAGUCAAUUUUUGAUCAAUGAAUGCACUGGCAGACUGGACAUUUUACCAUUAGUGUUUCCAGCAUGGUCACAAAAUAUCCAAAGUUUCCUUCCUACUGGAAUUAAUGUAAAUCGUCAUUUGCACAUGAAUUGCAUAGUAGCAUGAAAUUGUCUUGAAAAGCAACUUUGGGCUACUAAAUGCUUCCCCACCUUCAAUUUACAUUAAUAGCAAUAGGAGGAAAUGAAGGGUGGGUGACAAAAACUGUUAUGUAAACCUUCAGCCCUAGGAGUCAACGGAUAGAUUUCAUUUACAAGCACAACUACACAAAUGUGUACAGGAAGGAUUGGGAACAAGGAGCCAAGCACAAUGACGUCAGACGUGGAGUGCAUGUCGAAAACCUGGAAGCAGCGUGAGCAUGUAUCACUUAGGAUCAGUGCGCAACAAAAACGGAGAUGGCGGUUGAGUCCCCGCAGGUGUAACUGCCAACACAGCAGACUCCGGGGGCCCUAGAAAACAAGGGGUGCUGAUUGGGAAACUAGAUGAUGCCCAGUUUCAGUAUCUAUACAGUGUUUUUGAAUGACCUAGCUACACUUCUCAUCUCAGAUGACUGCUUUCUUCAACAAGAAUCCUGGCCCCGGCACCAAUUAGAAUUACACAGUGCCCUCAGGGUGUCAGUGUCAGUCUCUUGGAUAAGUGAUAUCUGUUACUGUCAACUGCUAGACAAAAGCAGACAGGUAUUCUUUCUAUAUGUCUCAUUAAAGUGGACAAUAGUAUCUAAGUCUGCAUUGUCUGGCUAUAAAAAAAGUUGUACGUACAAAGUGAAUCUUUACUUUGUACUUUGUAAUGUGUUCUUGCUUUUGGGAUUAUUUUCCCCUUCCUGGUUAAAGGUGAGAAAAACAAUAAAAAAUGCUAUAUUUUCUCCAGGUCUAGUAACCCAUAGCAACCAAAUAUUUGUAAUGUAAACCCUCAAUAAAAGUAUUUGUUACCCCCUAAAUCUUACAAGUAGGUGUUCUAAACAUUAAUUAGUUUUCUCAGCUUCUCCUCUACUAGGCAGAUGCCAGAAUGAUCAACAACCACAGAUAUUUCUUAAUUAAUACAACAGACAAAAAGUAUCUUCAGAAAAGAGAUGUGCAUUGUCCAUUUAAACAUCAGAACGGCAGGCUUAGUGCUAGACAAAAAAAGCAACAUUUAUUUACAAGUGUGCAAAGUGCAAUUUUUGGACACAAAAUACAUUUCCAGUUUUUUUAUGCAGUGUUACUUUAAAAAUAAAACACUUUGCAUGAAAGAGAAUGUGUGCUCCAUCCGCUAUGGGAAGCAGAAGGGCUUCACAAAAGAAUAAGGUGAAGUAGGGGUGGCAUAACAUUAGGGGCCAUUCUUCGCCCCUGAGAAAAGCAAGAGCUUGAAGGGGUGCAAGAGCAUGACCCUCAGUGUUUAUUUGCUAAGCAUUUCACCCCUUUUAUGAUUUGCUCUGCACUGAGCACUGGUUAGAAAAAAGAUCAAGAUAUACAGGGCAGGUAUGGGCAGUAAGGGGACAACAUCUAUGUUCCUCUUCCAACCUGACCAUCUUAAAUGAAAGACUGCUGUAAGCAAAGUGCAAAAAAUGGCACAAUCUGCCUCUGAUGUGGGCACCUUAUCUCCUCCAAAUGCUUUCCCAACAGCUAACAUGUUUCGCUGCUAUAGAAACAUUUGUGGCACAGUCAGGGCAGCCAUCAGGGGGGGACAGGGGGGAGAGUUGUAGGGGGCCCCGUGGGUAAGGGGGGCCCAGCCACGCCACACUUUCUUGAUUAGCCAGGCCCCCUGCUUUCUGAGAGCUGCUGACUCCGGGAAGGCAGGGCGGGAGCACAAGAGGAGGUAUCAUCUGUUCAUUACUUCACCUUAUUGGUCACUGAGUUUAAGCCCCGGUUGAGCUGCUCAGGGAUUGGAUAGCAGAGGUUUGAAUUUCUCCUCCAACUCAUCCAAUCACCAUGCAGCUUUACCAGGACUUGAAAUUCUGUGACCAGUAAGGGAAGAAAAUGCUGUCACUGGAAGUAGAUGCAGCCACCUGUGCUCCCCUCCUCCCUUCUGUAGUUGGCAGCUCACUGACAGCAGGUGGGCCGCACUAAUGAAGUUUAACAUGGCACGCCCCCCUAAAGGUAACCCUUUGUGGUCCCUGUUGUGUGGUGGGGCCCUGGGCACCAAAUCUUUUUU
Long non-coding RNA from Xenopus laevis (African clawed frog), 3357 nucleotides. RefSeq lists it as uncharacterized. The transcript has 3 exons. The record is from RefSeq and is a predicted model, not a curated record. Lineage: Eukaryota; Metazoa; Chordata; Amphibia; Anura; Pipidae.